RNAcentral lists this ribosomal RNA (501 nucleotides) under uncultured bacterium. RNAcentral's name for it is "bacterial SSU rRNA". It matches the Rfam family "Bacterial small subunit ribosomal RNA", at positions 52 to 507 of the family's 1533-position model. The record is from RNAcentral.
UACAUGCGAGUCGAACGCAUUGUGGUUGAAAUGAUAUGAAGAACUUGUUCAGAUUUGAUUUUCAACAUUGCAAUGAGUGGCGAACGGGUGAGUAACACGUGGGAAACCUACCUCUUAGCAGGGGAUAACAUUUGGAAACAAAUGCUAAUACCGUAUAAUAAUUAAAACCGCAUGGUUUUAGUUUAAAAGAUGGUCUUGCUAUCACUAAGAGAUGGUCCCGCGGUGUAUUAGUUAGUUGGUGAGGUAAUGGCUCACCAAGACAAUGAUACAUAGCCGAGUUGAGAGACUGACCGGCCACAAUGGGACUGAGACACGGCUCAUACUCCUACGGGAGGCAGCAGUAGGGAAUCUUCCACAAUGGACGAAAGUCUGAUGGAGCAACGCCGCGUGUGUGAUGAAGGGUUUCGGCUCGUAAAACACUGUUGUAAGAGAAGAAUGACAUUGAGAGUAACUGUUCAAUGUGUGACGGUAUCUUACCAGAAAGGAACGGCUAAAUACGUG